GAUGAACGCUGGCGGCGUGCCUAAUACAUGCAAGUCGAGCGAACGGACGAGAAGCUUGCUUCUCUGAUGUUAGCGGCGGACGGGUGAGUAACACGUGGAUAACCUACCUAUAAGACUGGGAUAACUUCGGGAAACCGGAGCUAAUACCGGAUAAUAUUUUGAACCGCAUGGUUCAAAAGUGAAAGACGGUCUUGCUGUCACUUAUAGAUGGAUCCGCGCUGCAUUAGCUAGUUGGUAAGGUAACGGCUUACCAAGGCAACGAUGCAUAGCCGACCUGAGAGGGUGAUCGGCCACACUGGAACUGAGACACGGUCCAGACUCCUACGGGAGGCAGCAGUAGGGAAUCUUCCGCAAUGGGCGAAAGCCUGACGGAGCAACGCCGCGUGAGUGAUGAAGGUCUUCGGAUCGUAAAACUCUGUUAUUAGGGAAGAACAUAUGUGUAAGUAACUGUGCACAUCUUGACGGUACCUAAUCAGAAAGCCACGGCUAACUGCGU
RNAcentral lists this ribosomal RNA (496 nucleotides) under uncultured bacterium. RNAcentral describes it as "partial 16S ribosomal RNA". It matches the Rfam family "Bacterial small subunit ribosomal RNA", at positions 28 to 506 of the family's 1533-position model. The record is from RNAcentral.